CAUGCUGUAAACGUUGGGCACUAGGUGUGGGGGCUGUCAUGGUUUCUGCGCCGUAGCUAACGCUUUAAGUGCCCCGCCUGGGGAGUACGGUCGCAAGGCUAAAACUCAAAGGAAUUGACGGGGGCCCGCACAAGCGGCGGAGCAUGCGGAUUAAUUCGAUGCAACGCGAAGAACCUUACCAAGGCUUGACAUACACCAGAAGCCUGCAGAGAUGUGGGUCUCUUUGAUACUGGUGUGCAGGUGG
Molecule: ribosomal RNA, 244 nt
Filed under: uncultured Actinomyces sp.
Lineage: Bacteria; Bacillati; Actinomycetota; Actinomycetes; Actinomycetales; Actinomycetaceae
Description: partial 16S ribosomal RNA
Rfam family: Bacterial small subunit ribosomal RNA
Source: RNAcentral